Molecule: ribosomal RNA, 356 nt
Filed under: uncultured Pseudomonas sp.
Lineage: Bacteria; Pseudomonadati; Pseudomonadota; Gammaproteobacteria; Pseudomonadales; Pseudomonadaceae
Description: bacterial SSU rRNA
Rfam family: Bacterial small subunit ribosomal RNA
Source: RNAcentral
CUGACACAGGUGCUGCAUGGCUGUCGUCAGCUCGUGUCGUGAGAUGGUUAGGGUUAAGUCCCGUAACGAGCGCAACCCUUGUCCUUAGUUACCAGCACGUUAUGGUGGGCACUCUAAGGAGACUGCCGGUGACAAACCGGAGGAAGGUGGGGAUGACGUCAAGUCAUCAUGGCCCUUACGGCCUGGGCUACACACGUGCUACAAUGGUCGGUACAAAGGGUUGCCAAGCCGCGAGGUGGAGCUAAUCCCAUAAAACCGAUCGUAGUCCGGAUCGCAGUCUGCAACUCGACUGCGUGAAGUCGGAAUCGCUAGUAAUCGUGAAUCAGAAUGUCACGGUGAAUACGUUCCCGGGCCUU